RNAcentral lists this non-coding RNA (45 nucleotides) under Schistosoma haematobium. Lineage: Eukaryota; Metazoa; Platyhelminthes; Trematoda; Strigeidida; Schistosomatidae. The record is from RNAcentral.
AUCCAGCUGAAUGGUUCCAAAAAGAAGGAAACGCGCUUCCUGGAU